Molecule: non-coding RNA, 693 nt
Organism: Peromyscus maniculatus bairdii (prairie deer mouse)
Lineage: Eukaryota; Metazoa; Chordata; Mammalia; Rodentia; Cricetidae
Source: RefSeq, a predicted model, not a curated record
AUUGCAGGGUCUGAAAGUCCAGGAGAAGGAGCCUGAAGAAGAAGAAGAAUAUGGCCCUUCCCACCCAGAGACGGAGCAGGGCUAUGAGAUACUGCUGGGUCAUGGUCUCAAGACUUUUCCAAGCAGGCAUGGAAGGACAUACAGAACAGCCGCGUGACAAUCAGGACCCAGGGAAUGACGAGGGCACAGACAUCCACAGUGAUGAGGGCACACCCGUGCCAGUGAGGAGGUGUCUCAAGACCAGCUUUCUUGGAAAAAGAGCCCUCAGUUCCUAGCUGCUGCCCAGAUCUGUGGUGUAAACAUUCUCAGCGGGCUGUUGCUUCUUGUUUCUGGCAGGACAGCUGAUUCUGAGGCCUGUCCUCCAGGAGCUGAACUACACUUAACACCUCGGAUGGGCUCCAUGGCUUGGCUGGGAGCUCUCCACAGCCCUUUGAGAAGCCACGACUGUAGUUGAAUGCACAUCAGGCCUCUUCUUGAAGACCGACCACUUCUUCCAGGAAGCCUGUCUUCUCUUCCAUUAUCCUUCUGAACAUCUGUCCAGGGGACACUUCUGACUGCCUGUCUGUCUUACUAUGCCAUAAGCCUCAUGGGAGCAAAGGUAGCAGCUUGUUUAGUCUGCCCUUAUAUCCCUAGGGUUUGACUCAAUGCCUCACGUCUCAUAGAUGCUCAAUUAAAUGUAACUGAACAAAUGCA